Molecule: transfer RNA, 72 nt
Filed under: Myxococcales bacterium
Lineage: Bacteria; Pseudomonadati; Myxococcota; Myxococcia; Myxococcales
Also listed under: 2 other names
Description: tRNA-Gly
Rfam family: tRNA
About the family: Transfer RNA (tRNA) molecules are approximately 80 nucleotides in length. Their secondary structure includes four short double-helical elements and three loops (D, anti-codon, and T loops).
Source: RNAcentral
GCGGGAGUAACUCAGCGGUAGAGUGCCACCUUGCCAAGGUGGACGUCGAGAGUUCGAAUCUCUUCUCCCGCU